GCCGACGCGAAGGCAUCCUGUCGAUGGGAGGUCAGAGCGUAUAAGAAAAAAACAUCGACUACGCUUGUAGUACAUCCUCCGAUAGGUUUGUUUGGACGGGGAGUUCGACUCUCCCCCAUCUCCACCA
This 127-nucleotide transfer-messenger RNA is filed under the name Ktedonobacteraceae bacterium. RNAcentral describes it as "partial transfer-messenger RNA". It matches the Rfam family "transfer-messenger RNA", at positions 236 to 374 of the family's 374-position model. From Rfam's summary of the family: Bacterial tmRNA, also known as 10Sa RNA or SsrA, is named for its dual tRNA and mRNA-like properties. Its role is to liberate the mRNA from a stalled ribosome. Lineage: Bacteria; Bacillati; Chloroflexota; Ktedonobacteria; Ktedonobacterales; Ktedonobacteraceae. The record is from RNAcentral.